This 275-nucleotide ribosomal RNA is filed under the name uncultured prokaryote. RNAcentral describes it as "partial 16S ribosomal RNA". It matches the Rfam family "Bacterial small subunit ribosomal RNA", at positions 524 to 798 of the family's 1533-position model. The record is from RNAcentral.
UACGUAGGGGUCGAGCGUUGUCCGGAGUUACUGGGCGUAAAGCGCAUGCAGGCGGCUCAUUACGCAUGGCGUGAAAGCCCCCGGCUCAACCGGGGAGGGUCGUCGUGAACGGGUGAGCUUGAGGGUAUCAGGGGCUGGUGGAAUUCCCGGUGUAGUGGUGAAAUGCGUAGAGAUCGGGAGGAACACCUGUGGCGAAGGCGGCCAGCUGGGAUACACCUGACGCUGAGAUGCGAAGGCGUGGGGAGCGAACGGGAUUAGAUACCCGGGUAGUCCCU